CAAGAAGCCGAAAGGCUACUUAAAACCAUCGCGAACUUAUCCAAGUUGCUUCGGCGGCGCGGCUCCCCUCACGGGGGACCGCAGCCCCCGCCUCUCAGGAGGUAAGGGGCAGCCGCCGGAGGUACGAAACUCUGUAUUAUAGUGGUAUCUCUGAGUAUAAAACAAAAUAAGUUA
This 174-nucleotide unclassified non-coding RNA is filed under the name soil metagenome. RNAcentral describes it as "partial internal transcribed spacer 1". The record is from RNAcentral.